AACUAGGGAAGAUGGCCCAGGCCGAGGAAAUCGCUCCCACGCCCCGCUGCUGUCCCCUCCCCUGAGCUGGGGGAAGGGACCCAUCUAGAAGGGAGACCCCCUCUCUCUUUCCUUCCCGGCCCACGCCCGCCCUGGGAAUGUCUCCGUGGUCUCACCGGAACAGCUCUCUGGCCUCGUGGCCUGCUGCCCCCACCCCGACGCCCAAUACUGCCAACGCGAGUGGGCUGCCAGGGGUGCCGUGGGCGGUGGCCUUGGCGGGGGCGCUGUUGGCGCUGGAGGUGCUGGUCACCGUGGGAGGCAACUUGCUGGUAAUCGUGGCCAUCGCCCGGACGCCGAGACUCCAGACCAUGACCAACGUGUUCGUGACUUCGCUGGCCACAGCAGACCUGGUGGUGGGACUGCUGGUAGUGCCGCCGGGGGCCACCUUGGCCCUGACCGGCCACUGGCCCCUGGGAGCCACUGGUUGCGAGCUGUGGACCUCAGUGGACGUGCUGUGUGUGACAGCCAGCAUCGAAACCCUGUGCGCCCUAGCCGUGGACCGUUACCUGGCAGUGACCAGCCCGCUGCGCUACGGUGCGCUGGUCACCAAACGGCGCGCCCGGGCAGCAGUGGUGCUGGUGUGGGUCGUGUCCGCCUCGGUGUCGUUUGCCCCCAUCAUGAGCAAAUGGUGGCGCGUGGGAGCCGACGCCGAGGCACAGCGUUGCCACUCCAAUCCCCACUGCUGCGCUUUCGCCUCCAACAUACCCUACGCGCUGCUCUCCUCCUCCGUCUCCUUCUACCUCCCGCUUCUGGUGAUGCUCUUCGUCUACGCGCGCGUUUUCCUCGUGGCUACGCGCCAACUGCGCCUGCUGCGCCGGGAGCUGGGCCGCUUCCCGCCCGAGGAGUCUCCGCCGACUGCGUCGCGCUUUGUGUCCCCCGCCCCAGCUGGGCCGUACGCUUCGCCCGCAGGGGUGCCCUCUUACGGUCGGCGGCCCGCGCGCCUUCUGCCUCCCCGGGAACACCGGGCCCUGCGCACCUUGGGUCUCAUCAUGGGUACCUUCACUCUCUGCUGGUUGCCCUUCUUUGUGGCCAACGUGAUGCGCGCUCUCGGGGGCCCCUCUCUGGUUCCCAGCCCGGCUUUCCUGGCCCUUAACUGGCUAGGCUAUGCCAACUCCGCCUUCAACCCGCUCAUCUACUGCCGCAGCCCCGACUUUCGCAGCGCCUUCCGCCGUCUCCUGUGCCGCUGCCGGCGUGAGGAGCACCAGGCCGCCGCCUCCCUGCCUAGCGACCCCUCGGGCGCCCCUGCUGAACUGGCCAGCCCCGCGGAGUCCAGGCAGUGCCCACCGCUCAACGGGUAGGGACACACGUCAUUGGAUUUGGAGCCUAUCCUAAUCCAGGAUAACAUCAUCUCAAGACCCUUAAUUGUAUCUGCAAAGAACCUUAAUCCAAAUAAGACCACAUUCUGAGAUUCCAGGUUAACAUAUAUUUGGGGACUACCAUUUGACCCAAUAUAGUGAGAGACACUUGUAAAUCCUUUAACUGAGAGUUCUGGUCUUGAAGAUUAACAUCCACUCUAGUCACCCCUCAGAAAGGGCUGUUCUCUCCAGAAUCUCUUAGACUUUGUGGGAGGCAGAAUUCUGAGAACUCCCAAGGACCCCUGUCCUUGUCUAAUUCCCUCUGCUUAAAUGUGGGUGGGACCUAUAAUUUGCUUCUAAGAAAUAAUAAUAUGACAAAGGUGAUGGGAUAUCACUCCUGUGAUUAGGUUGUAUUACAUGGCAGAGGUGAAAGGACUUUAAAGAUGUAAUUAAGGUCUUUAAUCAAUUGAUUUAGGUUAAUUAAAAAGCAGAUUAUCCUGGGUGGGCCUGACCUAAUCAGGCAAGCCCUUUAAAAGAAGGUCAGAGGUCAGAGAUGGAAGACAUCAGAAAGAUACUCUGGCUGUCCUCGAGGAAGCUAGCCACCUGAUUUCCACAAGUGCAAGGAAGUAGAUCCUGCCAACAACCACGUGAAUUGGAAAAGGACACUGAGCAUCAGAGGAGACUGUGGCCCUGGCUGACAUCUUCACUAUAGCCUGGUGAGACCCUGAACAGAAGAUCCAGCUCCCCCAUACACAGACUCUUGAGACAUGGAAACUGUGAGGAGGACCAAGAAUGCACCAUAGUUACGUUGGACCUCGAUGAGAGCUGCUUUGAUGGCAUGGAGGUGAUGGAGUGGGCGCAAGAGAACUUGGGAAAUGAAGAAGUGAAGAUAGAAAAUAUAAAACAAUCUCUCCCUAGCUGCUGUUCUGAAGAGGAUCAGAGAAAUGUGGUGGGUGGAUGAUCUCCUUGUCAUCUUAAUUAAUCUGGGUACCUGUUUCCCAGAAUUCUUGUUAGAUUCUGGGUUAGAGUUGACCAAAAGAGGAGAAACCUGCCAAAGAUGUGAGAGGCAGAAGAGAAAUGGCCCCCACUUAAUACCGCAGGGACUACAGAGUGAGAAUAGAAAGCACACGUGUUGGGGGAGGCUGCUUGUCUUCAGACUCUCCUCCGUGCCAGGCCCAGAGCAGGUGCUCUGCUUCCAGAGUGCGGGCUCUGCCGACUGUGGGAUGCCACACCACUGAGGACUUGGCUGCACACCCGCAGAUGUGGAGCUGUGCAGAAGCCCUAUUUUCCCAUAGACCCCUCCACGCAUCACCCCUUCUGAGUCCCAAUUCUGCAAAUGAUGUGUCUGGCUUCUCAGAUUUCCCUGGAGGCUCUGAUUUGUCCACCAGGGGAGUUUCAGACAGCCUGACAAAGGAUUUUUCUUUCAAUCUCCAACUCCCUUCCCGGGACCUUCCUUUCCCUGGGUCCUCUUGCAAUUGUGUGAGGUCUAAUUCCCACAAUACCCAAUUGCUCACAGCAGUUCUGCUUCUCUGGUUGAACCCUGACUGACUCAUGGGGUCACAGCUGGAGAGGGGAGGGGAGGUCACCAGAGCGGUGUUUGUUUUUAAGAUGGGGGUUCCGCUGCCUGUUUGUACGCCCGAGAGAAUGUUCUAGGGAAGAGGGGUGAUUGGCGAUGGAGGAGAGGAAGGACAAGUGCAGGACAGUGUAGCCAGGACCCAGGCAACAAAGGCAGAGGGUGGACUGAGAUGGGGCCCAGAAGAGGGGGGCUCAAGCACCCUACUAAGAGAAAAGAGAGUAGGUGGGUACUUACGUCAGUAGAUGGGCAGCUGUGAUGGGCGCCCAUGAAACCCUCUUCUGACAGCUUUUCCUGUCUCUGUGAAACAAGUACCCUCAGUAGUGUGGGAGGAAGUAUGGGGGUGUUGGAGAAGGGAGGGAAAGGGGUGAUAAAAUUGUGAAAAUUUGUCUUUUUUGGAUGCCCAGCCUGUGUACCUCUUUCCAGAAGAAAGUCUUCCUUUUCAGACUCUCGUAGGAAGGCAGCGCCCACCUGCCCUAACUGAGGGGGUCAUGACCAGAUCUGCUCUCCUCCCACCCCUUAGCUAGAGCGGGGGUGGGGGGGCGCGGGGCACUGGAUCACGUGAGUGGGCUCAGCCAAUCAGACGCGGACUUCCUGGUCCGUGGGCCUUCGGAGAUGCGAGUUGCGAUGGAAGGACCGUGGAGGGUCCGUAUCCACCGCAGUAGCUGUGCCAGCGAAGACCCAUGUCUGGGACCUGCAGUGGCAGCCGGCCUUCGGGUGGCCAAGCAGAGGACUGUGAAGGUGGGGUCAGUCACUGCGUCCUCUGAUGUUCAGCAGUAGGAUCCCCACCUGCUUCCUUUCGUGGUCUGAUGGCAGCGGUGGGUCCUGCUCCCAAAUCUCCAGCCUCCCUAUCGCUGACGCGAGCUACCAUAGAUCUUUUCUAUAAAUUCCUCUUAUACACGAACCAGCUAGAGCCCGUUUCUGUGGCUUGCCACCAAGUACCUUAACGGAUACUGACCGGAAUCAGAGACUUGAGCCAACGAACAGACAUUCUUCUUUUCCGAUUUCUCUUCACAGGCAGUUGACGUCAUUUUGGGGGUUUCCUCCGUGGCGGGCCCAGUAGCUUCUGAGAGCUUUAGGAUCCUUUGCAUACAGCUCUAUGACUAGAGAGUAAUGGACAGCUCUUCUCUGCCAGCUCCAGCAGGACUCCAAGAGCCCAGGCUUGAGCCACGUGCCUCCUCUCCCAGGAAGCGCUGUCACUCAGGAUUCGAGGACCAAAGCUGCGGAGAGGGUUGGGGCCAGCUACCAGAAAGAGUAGGAAAGGGGUUUCUGGGUGGACUUGGAGAAAAAUCACUACCUUCCACCUUUUGGAAGCUCAUCAGCCCACAUUUUUCUCCAAACAUGUAAUUUUAAGAAUGGUCAAAACUAACAGAAUGCAGUGUUUCUGCAUGCAAGUAAAAACUUGCUCUCUCCUCCCAAAAGGAACAACCCAAACUCACAUCCAACAUCCGGCUCUGAGUUAGGAUCUCUGGGUGAGGUGAAUUUUCUUCAUCUGAAAGCGGCUACCCAUAAUACUGGAGCUUAUGGACUGAAGCGGAAUUUAACUAUUCCCUAAUAUAUCCAGUGUUCAGUGCUGGAAGGGAAAAGGCUAUGAAGGCCAUCUAGAAAAGCAGGGAAGGGGAGCAACACACAGUGAUCACUGGUCCAGAGCACAUACCAUGUUUGUGUGGACAGGGACAGAAGGAGCAACCAUUUGUUUGAUCCGCGGUCCUAGCAAUGGAAUGAGCUCUUUGGAUCAGUUAUAAGGACACCCCUCUCUCCCAGCCCUUUAUGAUUUUUCUUUACCCUUUGUCCUCCUUGACUGAGCCUGAGGGGUCUAUGGGAAAAUUUCCCCAUGAGGACUACUCCACUUUAGCAGCCAACUUCUGUGACCAUGGUUACUAGAACCUGAAGAUUGGGGUCUUGCAAUUUCCUGUGGGAGGGGGGAGCCCUUUAAAAACUAGUCUGUUCAAAUGUUAGUUUGAACUUCCCAAAUACUCUGUGUUAUAAACUCUAGACUCAAAACUUCCUUGGAUAUUGAUAUGGUGGUUUCUGUCUCUUGGUAGCCUGAGGGGCAUGCUCUUUUCCAUAAUAAACCUCACUCAAUUCUAUAUUAUUUGUUGAUCCCCAUUUAAAAAUGCAUAGGGGCUCCUAGGUGGCACAGUCAGUUAAACAUUGGACUCUUGGUUUGGGCUCAG
This is an RNA transcript of Mustela erminea (ermine), 5084 nucleotides long. It is a transcript of the gene named adrenoceptor beta 3, with no coding region annotated. NCBI's taxonomy places the organism in Eukaryota, Metazoa, Chordata, Mammalia, Carnivora, Mustelidae. The transcript has 3 exons. The record is from RefSeq and is a predicted model, not a curated record.